Molecule: long non-coding RNA, 4295 nt
Organism: Peromyscus leucopus (white-footed mouse)
Lineage: Eukaryota; Metazoa; Chordata; Mammalia; Rodentia; Cricetidae
Exons: 3
Source: RefSeq, a predicted model, not a curated record
UGCCUGCGUCUACUUUUCAGAGCUGGAAUGAGAGUGUGCACCACCACACUAGGCUGUCUUUGACAUCUGUAUUGAGAUUACCCUGUAAGAAAAGAGUGAAAGCGAACUCAAUGGAAGAGUUUGCAAUUGUGUGGCUCGUCACUCUUUGCUGUCUAAACAGAGUUAAAUAAUUCCACCUUUCACACUUUGCGGUGCUGAGUUGUGUAUGAAGAGCCUGAGUUGUAUAGGGUACAUUUCUGGAACUCCUCAGCUUGAAAUAGCAAAAAGCUACAUUGUUUGAGGAAUUAAAAUUACUUUCCUCUAUGAAUCUGAAUUUGUAUAGUUGACUUUAUGAGAAUAAUAUAGCAAGAUUAUGGUAAAUAUUCCUAAUUUUCUGUUCACACAGAAAGCUGACAUGUGUUGACGAUCUGUGGGGUUCUGGGUGUGCAUCAUCUCAUUCAGCAUCAGAGUGGCCCUGCAGAUGAGGAUGCAGGCACUGAGUACUUAGUAGUGUUGCCAAGGUCAUACAGCAAGUGGGAGAUUUCAGAUGUGAUCUCAGGCAGCCUGUCUCGCUGCCCUGUCCCUGGGCUCUGGGUCUUUACUGUUUUACGCACACACACCAUGCUUGUGCUCAGUCCUAUCCCGGCAUCAGUUUCCAACAGAAGUGAAUGAGACCAAAUUUCCCCACAUCAGCAGCAGCACAGAACACUGAAAUUUUUAGAUUUGUACUUAUUAAUUAAUGGAAGAAUGAUCAUCUUCCCCUAAUUCUACUUUUAAGGUAAGAAUGAGUUAAAGGGAUGGAGGUGUGGCUCAGUGCUAGAGCAGAUACUAGCCUAUCAUUUCCCUUAUCAUUUAAUAGGAACUGUAUAUUAUAGACAUUUCCUUUUUCUGUUAAGACAAGGUACAGACCCUCCAUCAGUUUUUAUUUGGUUUAUGGUAUUUUACUGAUAUUUUUGAUUUUUCAGUUUUAACUUGUGUCUUUAGAUUUUAAAUCAUGUUGCAAAGGCCUGUUCUAUUCUGAGGCUAAGAAGUUUUUCCUUAUUUAUUCUAGAACUCUGACUUUCUCACUUCCCACGCUUAGGUCUUCUGCCCUUCUAGAAUUCAACCUGGCAGGCACCUGAGAUACUGUUCCAGAGUUCUGAUCGUUUUCCUCCCCAGCCGUUUAUGAAAUGCCUGUGUGUUUCCCGCUGUUUGGACUGUCAGCACCAUGUGCUGCCCGCCCGCCUUACCUCUGCUCCAGUCUGUUGGUUGGGGUCUGUUUGAGCUGCCAUCCCUCCUGUUUCCUCGGACACGGCCUAAAAUAAGUCAGGGUCACUUUCCUCUCAUCUGCCUUUUCUUCAGCUCUCUUGAUUGUUGCUGAUUGAGAUUUAAAAGAUGAUAUUUAGAUCUGUUUACUGUGUUCUAGUGAGCAACAAAACCCCAGAAAACAAACCCGAAACAACCCGUGUCCUGGCUCUGCUCCCUGCAGAUCUAGGGUCACAGGUAGCCACACCCAGAUUUUCAAGUGAGUGUAGAUCUGAACUCAGGUUCUCACAUUUGUGCAACAAUCACUUUUGCCCACUGGGCCAUCUCUGUGGUCCCCAUAUUAAACUGUAUUCUGUAGCGGACAACAUACAGUGUCUCAGUUUCCAUUCAAGAUAUUGCAGAAAGUGACUCAUUUUCAUCUCCAGCAAACCGUGUACACUUUGGCCUCCUCGAUAUUUCUCCUCUUGCAAAUGAAGAGUUUAAAACCGUAUAAUUCAAUUAGUGAAGAAUCUUCAACUAUGUGAGAUCCUGUCUGAUGUGGCUUCCUGCGUGGUUGACCAUUCAGGAAGAAAGCAUACAUUGGCAGCUUUCCCAGGGAGAUCGCAAUCAGGAGGAAAGAAAAUUUCUCAGGGGAAACACAAGGCUGGCCAUCUGUGUCAAAGAGGAGCAUGGAGUGGACCUUGCUAACACCAUGGUCUCCACAUUCCGGUCUCCAGGACCACAGACAAUGCAUUUCUGCUGUUUAAGCACCACCUUCCUCCACAAAUGAACAGCCUUGGAAAUGAAUUAGGAAAUCCAACUGGAGAGCACCAGCGGACCCUAUGGAAACAAAGAACAGAGACUACAUCUCCUGGACACAAGCUCCCAAGGUGUGUGACAGCCUGAAACAACGAGAAUAUAGUGAACAGAUGCUGGCUGAAUGAACCAGAUGUGGAUAAUGUUCUUGAUGGAUUCUUAUUGAUGGAGGAAAAGGGGUAACACCAGCCAAGAGUGGACACUCUAAAGGAGGAAGGCAGUUUAUUGUAGUGAAACUGCACUGCAGUUUUAUACAUGACCCCUCAAUGCAUACAACAUCACGUUACUCCACCCUGUUGCACAAGACACCACUGAACUGCAGAGGCUCAAAGUGCUCUGCAUGAGUUAAUACUGACACAACGCGUUUCCACCGCUCCGCCCACAUUCCAUUAGAUAUUGAAAGAGCUCCUUCCAGCCUCUGACAGCUCCCACGUGGCGCAUAGUGUCUCUCAGUGUUCUUCCUUCCACUAUGCUAGUUAGUUGUCAGAAGCCUGCUUAGGAAAACCGACUUAGAUGAGAGGUCCCGACAUUUCUACCUACACGCAGCUCUUGGAAAAUGUGAACACCGGCAAGACAUCUGAGGUAACUAAGAAAAGUAAAGAUAAUAGAAACAUGCACCUGGGGACGAAAACCAGCAACAUAUAGAGAGUACAUAAAUGCAUGCAUGUGGGGGUUUAUGUACACGACACCCCUUUCAUCUAACACCUUGUCUAUAGUACAUUUUAGACAUUUACCCCAUAUUGCACAAACCCAGAUAUACACACAGUCUGAUGUAUCGCUGUGCAAGCCAUCCUCACAGAGGAGAGCUCUACACAACAUUCUGAAUGAGCUUAUUCAUGACUUUUUUGUAGAAUUGACAGUUCUCUGUGCAGAAAUAUAUUCACAUACACCAAGGUCUCCUUUCCUAAAUGUAGGAUUCUUUAGCACACUGGAGUUGGUCAACCUCAAAGACCAUGUGCUGUUGCCUGAGACAGUCCAACUUGGCCUCCUGCAUGGAUUCAGACACGGUCCUCAGUCGGUGCAGCUCAGAGCUCCCCCGAGUUUCCACAGAGACACAGACAGUCUGACUCUGUUUCCAGUGCUCAGUCAUGGGUGACAAUCUGUGUCCACCAGGUGUCCCUUCACUGUGGUCACCUCCAAGGCGAGAAGGCAGAGCUGUGUUCCAUUUGAGCAUUCUCGCUCUCAUACUGGCAACUGUCUGGCCACCGUAGGCUGUGAGUCCAGGUGCCUGGUAAUGAAUGGCCUCUUCGUACGAUGGUGGACUUCCUGGAUUCCUCACAUCCACUAUCUGGAACACGUUAUCAACUGAGAGGGUCCAGGUUCUAGACAAGCUGAAGUCCAGAGUUGUUUGGCUUUGGAUUUCUGACUCAUUUUCCUGGAUGAUUCUGCCAGCAAGCUGGCUUUCUUUUCUGAAACCCUUCCUGAUUUGGUCUCUGGAAAAGUCUUUGGAUUUCUCAGACCCCAUGCUGGAGGUCCCGGGCAGCACUUUUUUGUGAGACGUAAAGGAAAACGACAUGGAAUGCUUUCUAAUUUCUCUCUGGGGUUUGAUCUUGUCGGUCUUUGUGGUGAAGCUCUGGUGUCUGGUGAAGAAGUUUCUUUUGGGACAAGACGGAGAAGGCAGAGGUGAGCUGUCCAAAGAUUUACCUGGGGAGACUCUGGAAAAUGCUUUGGGUACCAGUCCCUGUGAUGAUGCUAAACCUUGGGUCAAGUUCUUUAUCUUUAAAUCCACUGGUCUCUUGGGCUUGCCUUCAGCUGCUGGGAAGACCUCCUCUGUAAACGGAUCUUCAGCCUCAUCACCCUCCAAACAAGAGGCUUCAUGGGGCAUGGUGAAGUUAUCCUCACUCUUGGUUAGCUUUUGUUUUCUCAUUUGGCCCAUGAGGCACUCUUGUGAGGGUGACAUGUUGGGCUCAGAGAACCGCCUGUCUUGCUGGCCAAUGGAGCUUUUCAACCUGGCUGCCAUGCUAACAAUGGGUUCUGAGCUUGACUCACAGGUGUCCUGUGGGCCGCGGUUAUCCAGGCCAGCGUGCCCCUCCAGCUGCCCGCUGGGAGAAGUGGCGGCACUCGUGGGCUCCACAUCUGGGUCAUUGCUGUCGUAAGCUGAGUCGUUCUGCAGAGUUGACACAUCUGGGAAGAGUUAAGGCAGAGGUGAACAUUUUAUCUAGGCUCUUUCAGCAACAGUAUUUACUACAGGCUGCCCUGUUUAGUUAGACCUAUGGUGAUUUUGUGGAAGUGCAUUGGGGCUUGAUCUGACAAUAAACUGAUUACAUUAAAACUUU